This 378-nucleotide ribosomal RNA is filed under the name uncultured cyanobacterium. RNAcentral describes it as "bacterial SSU rRNA". It matches the Rfam family "Bacterial small subunit ribosomal RNA", at positions 376 to 770 of the family's 1533-position model. The record is from RNAcentral. Lineage: Bacteria; Bacillati; Cyanobacteriota.
CGAAAGCCUGACGGAGCAAUACCGCGUGAGGGAGGAAGGCUCUUGGGUCGUAAACCUCAAAACUUAGGGAAGAAGAAAGUGACGGUACCUAAUGUAAGCAUCGGCUAACUCCGUGCCAGCAGCCGCGGUAAUACGGAGGAUGCGAGCGUUAUCCGGAAUCAUUGGGCGUAAAGAGUCUGUAGGUGGCACUUCAAGUCUGCUGUCAAAGACCGAAGCUCAACUUCGGAAAGGCGGUGGAAACUGAAGAGCUAGAGUAAAGCAGGGGUAGAGGGAAUUCCCAGUGUAGCGGUGAAAUGCGUAGAUAUUGGGAAGAACACCAGUGGCGAAGGCGCUCAACUGGGCCGUAACUGACACUCAGGGACGAAAGCUAGGGGAGCG